UUACAUUUCUGAUGUCAGUGUUAGUUUAUUCAUCUAACUAUAAUAUUAUAUACCUACAGACUACAGAAAAAUAACUAAAAAUUAUGUUUUUGAUCACCAGUUUUUGAUUUCUAGUUUUUGAUAACUUCUAACAAUAGUAAGUAUACCAACACAAUACAGAAGUAAUUUUUUCGGACGUGGACGUGGACGUUUUCGGAUUAUUCCGUCCCAUACAUUAUACAAUAUAACAACAAUAAGAAAUUAUUCACGACAAAAUGAAAACGUUUAACUCGACUAUCAGCGUUUUAUUUCUAUGCCUCGUCUGUCUUCUGGCGGAGGUAAGCUGUAAGAAAACUAAAGACGUGCCCACUUACCAGGAAUUCUCUGAUGCCAUUAAUUCAACAAUACAUAAAAUAGAAGAUGUGUUUCACCCAUACGUCAGUCAUGGCGAUCCGUAUGCUAACAAACCGACGUUUUGCAAUGCUCAAUUGUGUGGUGGUUGUUCGGACCAACCGUUUAUAAACAUUAAUAAUUGCAUUAGAUGGUGUAGACCACCAUGCAUGUGCAUAAGCCCUGCGAGCGGAAGAGGCGAUGACAUAAUGUGUUCAAAGUCCAGACACAAAAGGACCACAUUGUGAUGAAAAUAAUUUGAAAAGGGAAAUGUGAAAAUCUGACGCUCAGAAAUUGGGAUACAGUAGUAGGUAUAUUGAACACCGUAUAAGAACGGAUGAUUAAAGAAUUAAUCUAAUCUAUAGGAAAUAUGAGAAGAGUUACACAAUGUUACAAAUAUGUUGCAAAUAUUAUUUCUAAAUUGUAUCAACUUUUUAAUACAAAAACAACAAUCAAUAAAUAAUUUAAAUAUA
Acyrthosiphon pisum (pea aphid) is the source of this 842-nucleotide long non-coding RNA. RefSeq lists it as uncharacterized. The transcript has 2 exons. NCBI's taxonomy places the organism in Eukaryota, Metazoa, Arthropoda, Insecta, Hemiptera, Aphididae. The record is from RefSeq and is a predicted model, not a curated record.